UCUCCGUUGGUGAACCAGCGGAGGGAUCAUUACCGAGUUUACAACUCCCAAACCCCAUGUGAACCAUACCAAACUGUUGCCUCGGCGGGGUCACGCCCCGGGUGCGUCGCAGCCCCGGAACCAGGCGCCCGCCGGAGGGACCAACCAAACUCUUUCUGUAGUCCCCUCGCGGACGUUAUUUUUACAGCUCUGAGCAAAAAUUCGAAAUGAAUCAAAACUUUCAACAACGGAUCUCUUGGUUCUGGCAUCGAUGAAGAACGAAGC
RNAcentral lists this unclassified non-coding RNA (264 nucleotides) under plant metagenome. RNAcentral describes it as "partial contains small subunit ribosomal RNA, internal transcribed spacer 1, and 5.8S ribosomal RNA". The stretch from base 216 to 264 matches the Rfam family "5.8S ribosomal RNA", at positions 1 to 49 of the family's 154-position model. The record is from RNAcentral.